This is a long non-coding RNA of Dendronephthya gigantea, 1209 nucleotides long. RefSeq lists it as uncharacterized. The transcript has 3 exons. NCBI's taxonomy places the organism in Eukaryota, Metazoa, Cnidaria, Anthozoa, Malacalcyonacea, Nephtheidae. The record is from RefSeq and is a predicted model, not a curated record.
CCAGGCGUCUCUGAUUCUUGAGUGGGGGUACCGCACGCAUCUUUAUCAACCAUUUCAUCUUCUGAAAGAUCCAAGAAUAGGAAACAAGAAACAAACAACUGUUUUUCCGUCAGUUCGAUAAAGAAAAGAUGACAACUUACCACCAUCACGUCGCACUGGUUUUUCAGCUGGUAUUGAUGAAAUAAGAGCACCAUUUAAUGCACCAAGUACUUGUGAUGAUACUGAUUGACUCAUCUAACAAGAAAUGAGAAUGAGUUGAGGAAAAAUGGGUUGAGGAUAUUGGCCAACAUAGAUCUGAGAAGCAGUCUGGGUGUGAAUACACCUGGAAAGAGCCUAACAAUGUAAUCGGGGACAAUACUGGAUGAAAGUGGAUGUUUGGAUUCUGGGGAAUACUAAAAGGAAAUAAAACGGUCAUUAAAUAUACACCGAUCAAAGUUCGCUUAAAAAACACGCGCGUGUGUCGUAAAAAAUGCAAAGCUUAGCAAAUUGACAAGACGACAAGGAAGGAAGGAAGCGGUGAAGCCAUGCAUGCGUGCAUGCAUGUCUGUGAAAUGUCCUUCCCUUGUCUGUGAUUUGCCGCUGAUAACAAAGGCUUCGCAACGUGGUUUUAGAUCUUCAGAGAUCUUCAUUUUUUCACACUUGAUCCCAGGGACGCAACCUGAGGAUCCUGCAUGUGCAAGCUUCUCUGUUUCCCUCCUGCCGGUUGAAAGUACUUCAUUUGGGAAAUGGUCGAGACGUUUGCAGAGCUUCAGCAAAAACAGGACUUGAUGUUGUAGGAAAAAGGAUUUGAAGGUUUAACAGCUUUCUCUUCGUUAAUGCUGUGACUGGUAACCAAAUAAUUCAUGUAUAAUAGUCGAUAUUGAGAGAAAACCCUGAUUUUCAAAUUGAAGGCAUCCUUCAAAAACAAUGCUUGAUUAACGAUCCAACUAAUAAACACGUGGACAAACCAGAAACACAUGUUCCACUCACAUGCACAUACGUAUAAUAUAAAAAGAAUAAAUUCACGCAACUUCUCUUGAGAUAUUGAGAAAGCGAAAAGCUUCAUCAGCUGAGGUAUAUUAGAGCUUCAUAUAUUUGCAAAUCUCGUAAAUUGUUCAAGUGAAGGCAUCAGUUGAGUUGAAGAGUUGGUGCUAUACUUUUCUGGUCAAGGGCGAGACUUGGAUCUGAGAAAAUUGGGCGAGGUGAUAAUUGUGUCUGGAGGCAAAAAAU